This 625-nucleotide long non-coding RNA is filed under the name Patiria miniata (bat star). Its description in RNAcentral is "uncharacterized LOC119742001". The record is from RNAcentral. Lineage: Eukaryota; Metazoa; Echinodermata; Asteroidea; Valvatida; Asterinidae.
ACCAGUCUCACCAUAGCUGUUGAUGGUGUAGACAAAUUCUCUGGUGCAAUAGUGACCGUGACAGAGUAUACUGACGUCACACUUUCCUGCAGAGCCCUGGGAGCUAUACCACGGGUGUCCAUAGACUGGUUUAACGACGGCAAUCCUCUUACACCUGACACCGAAACGAUUCCACCUGAUGGUGAGGCAACAGAUACACAGAGUAUAUGCAGCCCAUUCAUCCCAACACGACGUGAUGAUGGGGGCAGGAUAGAAUGUCGCACAAUAGGACCUCAAACUACACAGUCUGAAUUCAUUUCCCUCAAUGUUCUGUUUUCUCCGCUGGUAACAUCCCUGACAUACAGGGACGGAAUCAUCACUUGUGACGCAGAUGCCAAUCCACUCAGACACAUCGAAUAUUACAUCAUUCUAAAUGGCACCAAGCCUAACGCGCCUACUGGUAAAACCCUGGGGUUUAAUGUUGAUGACAAUUACUGCACAGAGGUCAGCUGUAAUGUCACAAAUACGAUUGGAACUGGGUCACAGAAACUUGAAGAACCGCUUUGCCCAGGUUUUGCUCGUGUAUCGCUACCAACAACAGACGGAUUAAUUCAAAGCACCAGUACCACAGACUCCUCCAGGAAGC